RNAcentral lists this ribosomal RNA (279 nucleotides) under uncultured bacterium. Its description in RNAcentral is "partial 16S ribosomal RNA". It matches the Rfam family "Bacterial small subunit ribosomal RNA", at positions 506 to 784 of the family's 1533-position model. The record is from RNAcentral.
UGCCAGCAGCCGCGGUAAUACGGAGGGUCCAAGCGUUAUCCGGAUUUAUUGGGUUUAAAGGGUCCGUAGGCGGGAUAAUAAGUCAGUGGUGAAAUCCUACAGCUCAACUGUAGAACUGCCAUUGAUACUGUUAUUCUUGAAUCUAGUUGAGGUAGGCGGAAUGUGUCAUGUAGCGGUGAAAUGCAUAGAUAUGACACAGAACACCAAUUGCGAAGGCAGCUUACUAAACUGGUAUUGACGCUAAGGAACGAAAGCGUGGGUAGCGAACAGGAUUAGAUA